ACUCAAAUGAAUUGACGGGGGCCCGCACAAGCGGUGGAGCAUGUGGUUUAAUUCGAUGCUACGCGAAGAACCUUACCCAGGCUUGACAUCCCGCGCUAACCUACGAAAGUAGGCGUUCCCUUCGGGGACGCGGUGACAGGUGCUGCAUGGCUGUCGUCAGCUCGUGUUGUGAGAUGUUGGGUUAAGUCCCGCAACGAGCGCAACCCUCGUCGCUAGUUACCAUCAUUAAGUUGGGCACUCUAGCGAGACCGCUGGGCUAUAAGCCAGAGGAAGGUGGGGAUGACGUCAAGUCCUCAUGGCCUUUAUGUCUGGGGCUACACACGUGCUACAAUGGGAGAUACAAUGCGCCGCAAGCUCGCGAGAGCAAGCUAAUCGCAAAAAAUCUCUCUCAGUUCGGAUUGGAGUCUGCAAUUCGACUCCAUGAAGCUGGAAUCGCUAGUAAUCGUGGAUCAGCACGCCACGGUGAAUACGUUCCCGGGCCUUGUACACACCGCCCGU
Molecule: ribosomal RNA, 498 nt
Filed under: uncultured bacterium
Lineage: Bacteria
Description: partial 16S ribosomal RNA
Rfam family: Bacterial small subunit ribosomal RNA
Source: RNAcentral